Molecule: transfer RNA, 69 nt
Filed under: Priacanthus tayenus (purple-spotted bigeye)
Lineage: Eukaryota; Metazoa; Chordata; Actinopteri; Priacanthiformes; Priacanthidae
Description: tRNA-His
Rfam family: tRNA
About the family: Transfer RNA (tRNA) molecules are approximately 80 nucleotides in length.
Source: RNAcentral
GUAGACAUAGUUUAAACAAAACAUCAGAUUGUGAUUCUGAAAAUAGAGGUUAAACCCCUCUUUUCCACC